This 497-nucleotide ribosomal RNA is filed under the name uncultured bacterium. RNAcentral describes it as "partial 16S ribosomal RNA". It matches the Rfam family "Bacterial small subunit ribosomal RNA", at positions 28 to 507 of the family's 1533-position model. The record is from RNAcentral.
GACGAACGCUGGCGGCGUGCCUAAUACAUGCAAGUUGAGCGAUGAAGAUUGGUGCUUGCACCAAUUUGAAGAGCAGCGAACGGGUGAGUAACGCGUGGGGAAUCUGCCUUUGAGCGGGGGACAACAUUUGGAAACGAAUGCUAAUACCGCAUAAUAACUUUAAACAUAAGUUUUAAGUUUGAAAGAUGCAAUUGCAUCACUCAAAGAUGAUCCCGCGUUGUAUUAGCUAGUUGGUGAGGUAAAGGCUCACCAAGGCGAUGAUACAUAGCCGACCUGAGAGGGUGAUAGGCCACAUUGGGACUGAGACACGGCCCAAACUCCUACGGGAGGAAGCAGUAGGGAAUCUUCGGCAAUGGACGAAAGUCUGACCGAGCAAAGCCGCGUGAGGGAAGAAGGUUUUCGGAUCGUAAAACUCUGUUGGUAGAGAAGAAAGUUGGUGAGAGUGGAAAGCUCAUCAAGUGACGGUAACUAACCAGAAAGGGACGGCUAACUACGUG